GAUUCGUUAGCAUAAUUGGUAAUGCACCUAACUUUUAAUUAGGGUAAUAGGUGUUCAAAUCACCUACGAAUCACCA
This 76-nucleotide transfer RNA is filed under the name Thomasclavelia ramosa. RNAcentral describes it as "Erysipelatoclostridium ramosum tRNA-Lys". It matches the Rfam family "tRNA". From Rfam's summary of the family: Transfer RNA (tRNA) molecules are approximately 80 nucleotides in length. The record is from RNAcentral. Lineage: Bacteria; Bacillati; Bacillota; Erysipelotrichia; Erysipelotrichales; Coprobacillaceae. RNAcentral also lists the same sequence under 4 other names.